RNAcentral lists this ribosomal RNA (450 nucleotides) under uncultured bacterium. RNAcentral describes it as "bacterial SSU rRNA". It matches the Rfam family "Bacterial small subunit ribosomal RNA", at positions 29 to 524 of the family's 1533-position model. The record is from RNAcentral.
AGCGAACGCUGGCGGCAGGCCUAACACAUGCAAGUCGAACGGAUCCUUCGGGAUUAGUGGCGGACGGGUGAGUAACACGUGGGAACGUGCCCUUUGGUUCGGAACAACUCAGGGAAACUUGAGCUAAUACCGGAUGUGCCCUUCGGGGGAAAGAUUUAUCGCCAUUGGAGCGGCCCGCGUCUGAUUAGCUAGUUGGUGAGGUAAAGGCUCACCAAGGCGACGAUCAGUAGCUGGUCUGAGAGGAUGAUCAGCCACAUUGGGACUGAGACACGGCCCAGACUCCUACGGGAGGCAGCAGUGGGGAAUAUUGGACAAUGGGCGAAAGCCUGAUCCAGCAAUGCCGCGUGAGUGAUGAAGGCCUUAGGGUUGUAAAGCUCUUUUACCCGGGAUGAUAAUGACAGUACCGGGAGAAUAAGCCCCGGCUAACUCCGUGCCAGCAGCCGCGGUAAU